UUGUAUGUGACUAUAUCUCAAUAAAACUAACUUUAAAAAAAAGAACCCCCCACCCAAAAUAAAAAAAAAUCAAAUGCUACAUUAAAAAAGGAGUUUUCAGGGCUGCCAACCUUUAUAGAUGAGAUUGAAGGGCAGUAUAGUUUUCCUACAUUA
This is a small nucleolar RNA of Choloepus didactylus (southern two-toed sloth), 153 nucleotides long. RefSeq annotates it as small nucleolar RNA U109. The record is from RefSeq and is a predicted model, not a curated record. NCBI's taxonomy places the organism in Eukaryota, Metazoa, Chordata, Mammalia, Pilosa, Megalonychidae. The transcript has a single exon.